Molecule: ribosomal RNA, 254 nt
Filed under: uncultured bacterium
Lineage: Bacteria
Description: partial 16S ribosomal RNA
Rfam family: Bacterial small subunit ribosomal RNA
Source: RNAcentral
CUUUCUUUGCUGGCGACCGGCGCACGGGUGAGUAACACGUAUCCAACCUGCCCUUUACUCGGGGAUAGCCUUUCGAAAGAAAGAUUAAUACCCGAUAGCAUAAUGAUUCCGCAUGGUUUCAUUAUUAAAGGAUUCCGGUAAAGGAUGGGGAUGCGUUCCAUUAGGUUGUUGGUGAGGUAACGGCCCACCAAGCCUUCGAUGGAUAGGGGUUCUGAGAGGAAGGUCCCCCACAUUGGAACUGAGACACGGCCCAA